Molecule: ribosomal RNA, 388 nt
Filed under: uncultured bacterium
Lineage: Bacteria
Description: bacterial SSU rRNA
Rfam family: Bacterial small subunit ribosomal RNA
Source: RNAcentral
GACGAACGCUGGCGGCGUGCUUAACACAUGCAAGUCGAGCGGUAAGGCCCUUUCGGGGGUACACGAGCGGCGAACGGGUGAGUAACACGUGGGUGACCUGCCCUUAGCUCUGGGAUAAGCCUGGGAAACUGGGUCUAAUACCGGAUAUGACUCCAUGACGCAUGUUGUGGGGUGGAAAGCCUUGUGCGGCUAGGGAUGGGCCCGCGGCCUAUCAGCUUGUUGGUGGGGUGAUGGCCUACCAAGGCGAUGACGGGUAGCCGGCCUGAGAGGGCGACCGGCCACACUGGGACUGAGACACGGCCCAGACUCCUACGGGAGGCAGCAGUGGGGAAUCUUGCGCAAUGGGCGAAAGCCUGACGCAGCGACGCCGCGUGAGGGAUGACGGCCU